RNAcentral lists this ribosomal RNA (163 nucleotides) under Silene littorea. RNAcentral's name for it is "5.8S ribosomal RNA". It matches the Rfam family "5.8S ribosomal RNA". Rfam says of the family: 5.8S ribosomal RNA (5.8S rRNA) is a component of the large subunit of the eukaryotic ribosome. It is transcribed by RNA polymerase I as part of the 45S precursor that also contains 18S and 28S rRNA. The record is from RNAcentral. Lineage: Eukaryota; Viridiplantae; Streptophyta; Magnoliopsida; Caryophyllales; Caryophyllaceae.
UAAACGACUCUCGGCAACGGAUAUCUCGGCUCUCGCAUCGAUGAAGAACGUAGCGAAAUGCGAUACUUGGUGUGAAUUGCAGAAUCCCGUGAACCAUCGAGUUUUUGAACGCAAGUUGCGCCCGAAGCUUUUAGCUGAGGGCACGUCUGCCUGGGCGUCACGC